RNAcentral lists this ribosomal RNA (421 nucleotides) under uncultured bacterium. Its description in RNAcentral is "partial 16S ribosomal RNA". It matches the Rfam family "Bacterial small subunit ribosomal RNA", at positions 360 to 773 of the family's 1533-position model. The record is from RNAcentral.
AAUAUUGGACAAUGGGGGCAACCCUGAUCCAGCCAUGCCGCGUGUGUGAAGAAGGUCUUCGGAUUGUAAAGCACUUUAAGUUGGGAGGAAGGGUUGUAGGUUAAUACCCUGCAAUUUUGACGUUACCAACAGAAUAAGCACCGGCUAACUUCGUGCCAGCAGCCGCGGUAAUACGAAGGGUGCAAGCGUUAAUCGGAAUUACUGGGCGUAAAGCGCGCGUAGGUUGUUCGUUAAGUUGGAAGUGAAAGCCCCGGGCUUAACCUGGGAAUUGCUUUCAUAACUGCUGAGCUAGAGUACGGUAGAGGGUAGUGGAAUUUCCUGUGUAGCGGUGAAAUGCGUAGAUAUAGGAAGGAACACCAGUGGCGAAGGCGACUACCUGGACUGCAACUGACGCUGAGGCACGAAAGCGUGGGGAGCGAAC